Molecule: non-coding RNA, 28 nt
Organism: Mitsuokella multacida DSM 20544
Lineage: Bacteria; Bacillati; Bacillota; Negativicutes; Selenomonadales; Selenomonadaceae
Source: Rfam
GUUAUCUGCCGCAUAGGCAGCUUAGAAA